This 498-nucleotide ribosomal RNA is filed under the name uncultured bacterium. RNAcentral's name for it is "partial 16S ribosomal RNA". It matches the Rfam family "Bacterial small subunit ribosomal RNA", at positions 899 to 1397 of the family's 1533-position model. The record is from RNAcentral.
ACUCAAAGGAAUAGACGGGGGCCCGCACAAGCGGUGGAGCAUGUGGUUUAAUUCGACGCAACGCGAAGAACCUUACCUGGGUUUGACAUGUACACGACCGGCGGUGAAAAUCGCCUUCUCUUCGGAGCGUGUGCACAGGUGCUGCAUGGCUGUCGUCAGCUCGUGUCGUGAGAUGUUGGGUUAAGUCCCGCAACGAGCGCAACCCUCGCCCUCUGUUGCUACCAGGUUAUGCUGGGCACUCUGAGGGGACUGCCCCGGUGAACGGGGAGGAAGGUGGGGAUGACGUCAAGUCCUCAUGGCCUUUAUGUCCAGGGCUACACACGUGCUACAAUGGCGAGGACAAUGGGAUGCUCCCUUGCAAAAGGUUGCCAAUCCCAAAAACUUCGUCCCAGUUCGGAUGGUUGGCUGCAACUCGCCGGCCUGAAGCUGGAAUCGCUAGUAAUCGGAGAUCAGCACGCUCCGGUGAAUACGUUCCCGGGCCUUGUACACACCGCCCGU